AGAGAGAGACAUGCGCGCAUAUCAAUAAGCGGAGGAAAAGAAACUAACAAGGAUUCCCUAGUAACGGCGAGUGAAGCGGGAAGAGCUCAAAUUUGAAAUCUUAAAGGGUUUCCCUUUACGAAUUGUAGUUUAAAGAAGUGUUUUCUGUUGAGGUUUUGGUAAAAGUUCUUUGGAAUAGGACAUCAUAGAGGGUGAGAAUCCCGUAUUUGACCUUUACUUUCAACUUUGUGAUACACUUUCAAAGAGUCGGAUUGUUUGGGAAUGCAGUCCAAAAUGGGUGGUAAAUUUCAUCUAAAGCUAAAUAUUGGCGAGAGACCGAUAGCGAACAAGUACCGUGAGGGAAAGAUGAAAAGAACUUUGAAAAGAGAGUUAAACAGUACGUGAAAUUGUCAAAAGGGAAGCGUUUGACACCAGUGUUGUUUUUCUGAAAAUCAAUUAAAGAACUGUUUAUGCUAAGUUGUUUAGACUUUAUCAGCUAACUGUUUAGUUUUGAGCUUUUCUUUAAUGCACUUUUCAGUUAACAAGUCAACAUCAAUUUCUUUUGCUGUAAAAAAGCUUGAGGAAGGUGGCUUGAGAUUCGUCUUAAGUGUUUAUAGCCUCUUGCCUAUGCAGUCGGAGAGAUUGAGGUCUGCAGCGUAGAUCCUUCGGGGCUAAAUGCAUUUGUGCUAAGUUAUAGCAUUUUAUAGACAACUUGUUGACUAUGAUUUGUCUUGUAGCUUACUCGCUUAUGUUAUUUUACCUACGCUUAGGAUGUUGAGCGCAUGUCUCUCUCU
Molecule: ribosomal RNA, 773 nt
Filed under: uncultured Neocallimastigales
Lineage: Eukaryota; Fungi; Neocallimastigomycota; Neocallimastigomycetes; Neocallimastigales
Description: partial large subunit ribosomal RNA
Rfam family: Eukaryotic large subunit ribosomal RNA
Source: RNAcentral